Molecule: ribosomal RNA, 651 nt
Filed under: uncultured Lachnospiraceae bacterium
Lineage: Bacteria; Bacillati; Bacillota; Clostridia; Lachnospirales; Lachnospiraceae
Description: bacterial SSU rRNA
Rfam family: Bacterial small subunit ribosomal RNA
Source: RNAcentral
UUCGGAUUGAAGCCUUGGUGACUGAGCGGCGGACGGGUGAGUAACGCGUGGGUAACCUGCCUCAUACAGGGGGAUAACAGUUGGAAACGGCUGCUAAUACCGCAUAAGCGCACAGUACCGCAUGGUACGGUGUGAAAAACUCCGGUGGUAUGAGAUGGACCCGCGUCUGAUUAGGUAGUCGGUGGGGUAACGGCCUACCAAGCCGACGAUCAGUAGCCGACCUGAGAGGGUGACCGGCCACAUUGGGACUGAGACACGGCCCAAACUCCUACGGGAGGCAGCAGUGGGGAAUAUUGCACAAUGGGGGAAACCCUGAUGCAGCGACGCCGCGUGAGCGAUGAAGUAUUUCGGUAUGUAAAGCUCUAUCAGCAGGGAAGAAAAUGACGGUACCUGACUAAGAAGCCCCGGCUAACUACGUGCCAGCAGCCGCGGUAAUACGUAGGGGGCAAGCGUUAUCCGGAUUUACUGGGUGUAAAGGGAGCGUAGACGGCAUGGCAAGCCAGAUGUGAAAGCCCGGGGCUCAACCCCGGGACUGCAUUUGGAACUGUCAGGCUAGAGUGUCGGAGAGGAAAGCGGAAUUCCUAGUGUAGCGGUGAAAUGCGUAGAUAUUAGGAGGAACACCAGUGGCGAAGGCGGCUUUCUGGACGGUGA